Molecule: long non-coding RNA, 1262 nt
Organism: Eucalyptus grandis
Lineage: Eukaryota; Viridiplantae; Streptophyta; Magnoliopsida; Myrtales; Myrtaceae
Exons: 3
Source: RefSeq, a predicted model, not a curated record
UCUCCCCGACGGUACUUUCCCUCUGCAGACCUCUCCUUUCUUCACGCCUCUCCUCUCCCUUCCUUCCGUAAAUUCAAAAUUUCAGGUUCCCUCGUCUUCGCUCUCUCCGAUGCUCGCUCGCUCUCUCCGACGCUCGUGCUCGUGCUAUAUUUGGGCCGACGCUGGCCAGGCUCCUGCUCUCGUCGACGUCCGCCGCAAGCUCGCUCGAACUCACCUCCAACUUCACCGUCACUCUCGCCCUCUCCCUCCCUCGAUCUCCCCCGCCCCGCGCUGCCGUUCCGAGAACUCGAACCCUCCGAAGUUGGUGUUCCGGAGGACGGUCUCCGCAACCAGCGACGCGGUCGAGGGAGCUGAGAAGGAGGUCGCGGUGGAGUAGUCGAGGGACUUGAUGUCGUCGCGGCGAAGCUUGAGCUUGGGGCUCUUGACGCGGACGGUGAGGGCGAACCCGGGGAAGGCGGCACGGAGGAUGACGAUCGGGGCGAGGGCGUAGACGAAGCACUUGUUGCUGCUGCGCUUCUGGUUGCGGCUAGGCGGCGGCUUGGCGAAGAGGGCGAGCUCCACUUCGUCGCUCCGGAGGCGAGGUCCGGAGGGCGCGAUUGGGCUGACACCUCACCCUGAUGCUAGGAAGAGACUGUUUGGCACUGAGAUCACAAAUCAACCUUUAAAGAGAAGUAAGGUGGAUUCUUCAAACAAUACAAAAUCAUGUGACCCAGUAAAAAAGGUGUUUUUGUCAAACAAGAUCCAGAAAACAACUACGACAGGUGUGAACAAGAGUGCCAAUCAGACAAUGGCUCGAGGGAUUACGUAUAUGGCCCAUUUGCUCCUGUGUAUUUGCCCAGAGCAGUAAAUUCUGUACCAAAGUCUGAAGCAGGAUUAUGACUGGGAAACACUUGCAUCUACUCAUCGCCCUCUGUGCCAUAAUCAAGCUUUGAGGGACCUCUUUGCACAUUACAUGGAGGCAUGGAAGUCAUGGUACACUGAAGUUGCUGGGAACAUAAAGAUACCACAAGUGUCCAGAUCACUUGGUUCCUUACAAGUUGAUCGAGUACAGAGGAAUACAGAUGUUCAACCAUUUGUCCGGGGGUUUGUUUUUAGUUUCGGCUCUUUGAUACUGCUCCCUUAGAAGAGGAUAACGUAUGUGGCUUCUUGUUGGAUCACGUUCUCGAUGUUCCGACUGUAUAGUCAAAAAUACGCUGUUUCUAACCCAUUGAAUGAACAAAUGCCAGUGUGCAGUUACUGAAUGAAUUGAUCAAUUUUAUAGC